Molecule: long non-coding RNA, 2511 nt
Filed under: Sparus aurata (gilthead seabream)
Lineage: Eukaryota; Metazoa; Chordata; Actinopteri; Spariformes; Sparidae
Description: lncRNA (ENSSAUG00010014226.1)
Source: RNAcentral
GCCUUCCAUUUGUUUUACUGUAAGAUAAUUACAGUAUCCUUCUGCGAACUACAAUACGGCUGUAUAUAUACUGUUACUAUACUGUAUAUAUACUGUUACUAUACUGUAUAUAUACUGUUACUAUACUGUAUAUAUACUGUAUAUAUACUGUUACACUACUGUAUAUAUACUGUUACUAUACUGUAUAUAUACUGUUACUAUACUGUAUAUAUACUGUAUAUAUACUGUUACUAUACUGUAUAUAUACUGUAUAUAUACUGUUACACUACUGUAUAUAUACUGUUACUAUACUGUAUAUAUACUGUUACUAUACUGUAUAUAUACUGUAUAUAUACUGUUACACUACUGUAUAUAUACUGUUACUAUACUGUAUAUAUACUGUUACACUACUGUAUAUAUACUGUUACUAUACUGUACAUAUACUGUUACUAUACUGUUACUAUACUGUACAUAUACUGUUACUAUACUGUAUAUAUACUGUUACUAUACUGUAUAUAUACUGUUACUAUACUGUAUAUAUACUGUUACUAUACUGUUACUAUACUGUAUAUAUACUGUUACUAUACUGUAUAUAUACUGUUACUAUACUGUUACUAUACUGUAUAUAUACUGUUACUAUACUGUAUAUAUACUGUUACUAUACUGUAUAUAUACUGUUACACUACUGUAUAUAUACUGUUACUAUACUGUAUAUAUACUGUUACUAUACUGUAUAUAUACUGUUACUAUACUGUAUAUAUACUGUUACUAUACUGUAUAUAUACUGUUACUAUACUGUAUAUAUACUGUUACACUACUGUAUAUAUACUGUUACUAUACUGUAUAUAUACUGUUACUAUACUGUAUAUAUACUGUUACUAUACUGUUACUAUACUGUAUAUAUACUGUUACUAUACUGUAUAUAUACUGUUACUAUACUGUAUAUAUACUGUUACUAUACUGUACAUAUACUGUUACUAUACUGUAUAUAUACUGUUACUAUACUGUAUAUAUACUGUUACUAUACUGUUACUAUACUGUAUAUAUACUGUUACUAUACUGUACAUAUACUGUUACUAUACUGUUACUAUACUGUAUAUAUACUGUUACUAUACUGUACAUAUACUGUUACUAUACUGUAUAUAUACUGUUACUAUACUGUAUAUAUACUGUUACUAUACUGUAUAUAUACUGUUACUAUACUGUUACUAUACUGUUACUAUACUGUAUAUAUACUGUUACACUACUGUAUAUAUACUGUUACUAUACUGUACAUAUACUGUUACUAUACUGUAUAUAUACUGUUACUAUACUGUAUAUAUACUGUUACUAUACUGUUACUAUACUGUAUAUAUACUGUUACUAUACUGUAUAUAUACUGUUACACUACUGUAUAUAUACUGUUACUAUACUGUAUAUAUACUGUUACUAUACUGUUACUAUACUGUAUAUAUACUGUUACUAUACUGUUACUAUACUGUAUAUAUACUGUUACACUACUGUAUAUAUACUGUUACUAUACUGUAUAUAUACUGUUACUAUACUGUUACUAUACUGUAUAUAUACUGUUACACUACUGUAUAUAUACUGUUACUAUACUGUACAUAUACUGUUACUAUACUGUUACUAUACUGUACAUAUACUGUUACUAUACUGUAUAUAUACUGUUACUAUACUGUAUAUAUACUGUUACACAACUGUAUAUAUACUGUUACUAUACUGUUACUAUACUGUACAUAUACUGUUACUAUACUGUAUAUAUACUGUUACUAUACUGUAUAUAUACUGUUACACAACUGUAUAUAUACUGUUACUAUACUGUUACUAUACUGUAUAUAUACUGUUACACAACUGUAUAUAUACUGUUACUAUACUGUUACUAUACUGUAUAUAUACUGUAUAUAUACUGUUACACAACUGUAUAUAUACUGUUACUAUACUGUUACUAUACUGUAUAUAUACUGUUACACAACUGUAUAUAUACUGUUACUAUACUGUUACUAUACUGUAUAUAUACUGUAUAUAUACUGUUACACAACUGUAUAUAUACUGUUACACAACUGUAUAUAUACUGUUACACAACUGUAUAUAUACUGUUACUAUACUGUAUAUAUACUGUUACACAACUGUAUAUAUACUGUUACUAUACUGUAUAUAUACUGUUACACAACUGUAUAUAUACUGUUACACAACUGUAUAUAUACUGUUACUAUACUGUACAUAUACUGUUACACAACUGUAUAUAUACUGUUACACAACUGUAUAUAUACUGUUACUAUACUGUACAUAUACUGUUACACUACUGUAUAUAUACUGUAUAUAUACUGUAUAUAUACUGUUACACUACAGUAUAUAUACAGUAGUGUUACACUACUGUAUAUAUACUGUAUAUAUACUGUUACACUACUGAACCGCAGCAGCAGAUUUAGGCCACGUUCAUUUCGGCCUCUACAAUUCUUUCACCUUCUUAAAUUUGUUUUACCAAACACGAUUUCACUGAUCUUCACCAAACUGUGUAAAAUCCACAUUUAG